Molecule: ribosomal RNA, 503 nt
Filed under: uncultured bacterium
Lineage: Bacteria
Description: partial 16S ribosomal RNA
Rfam family: Bacterial small subunit ribosomal RNA
Source: RNAcentral
AUUGAACGCUGGCGGCAGGCUUAACACAUGCAAGUCGAGCGGGGUGAUGGUGCUUGCACUAUCACUUAGCGGCGGACGGGUGAGUAAUGCUUAGGAAUCUGCCUAUUAGUGGGGGACAACAUCUCGAAAGGGAUGCUAAUACCGCAUACGUCCUACGGGAGAAAGCAGGGCAUCACUUGUGACCUUGCGCUAAUAGAUGAGCCUAAGUCGGAUUAGCUAGUUGGUGGGGUAAAGGCCUACCAAGGCGACGAUCUGUAGCGGGUCUGAGAGGAUGCUCCGCCACACUGGGACUGAGACACGGCCCAGACUCCUACGGGAGGCAGCAGUGGGGAAUAUUGGACAAUGGGGGGAACCCUGAUCCAGCCAUGCCGCGUGUGUGAAGAAGGCCUUAUGGUUGUAAAGCACUUUAAGCGAGGAGGAGGCUCUUUUGGUUAAUACCCAAGAUGAGUGGACGUUACUCGCAGAAUAAGCACCGGCUAACUCUGUGCCAGCCGCCGCAGUAA